This 4787-nucleotide long non-coding RNA is filed under the name Pan troglodytes (chimpanzee). RNAcentral describes it as "long non-coding RNA NONPTRT012378". The record is from RNAcentral. Lineage: Eukaryota; Metazoa; Chordata; Mammalia; Primates; Hominidae.
ACAGCAAUUUGUAGGGCUGGGUGGAACACCCACAAACAAACCCAAUUAGAAGAAACCUCUGACAUGUUAGAUAAAGAUGACAAAAGGCCCGUCUCAGGCACCAAAGUUAGUCACCGUUGCUGAAAACAUGUCUGGAUUCCUGGGAAGUUCUUCAGGGUUUAGUUACUUGGGGCAAAGAGAAAACUUAGCAGCUGAGUUUAUUUUACAGAGACACCCAGGGAAGGGAGUGGAAGGAGCAGAUAGACCUGGAUAUAAACCCUGGCUCCCUGAGUACGGGUGUGGGCCAGUGUGCAGGGCACAGAGCCUUUCUGUGUCAAUGUGUGCUCAGCCUUGCACAAGCAUGCAUGUGUGUGUGUGUAUGUGGGUGUCUGUCUGUCUUACGUGGACAGGGAGUGCCUGAUACACAGUAGGUCCUCAUGCUGGCAAACCCCUUUUUGCUGGUACACUUUUCUUUCUAGAACCCUCAUUUUUCUGCCCUUCAAGUGAACGAUGUGAUUGAUUGAGUCACAGAUUGACACAUUCAUUCGUUUACUGUUCAGUACAUUCAGUACAAGUUUACUGUGUGCUUGCCAUGUGUUGGACACUGAAUUCAGCAAUGGGCAAUAUUCCAAGUAUUAGGGUCUUUCUCCAUUAUUCAAGUGCUGUUGACUCCAGUGAGGACACUGUGGGCAGGCGUGGAGAUGUGAUGUACCCUGAGCAGACAGACACUUGAGUUUCCAUUCCCAGCACCAGGGUGGUGCCAAGUACACAGUGACGUGCCACUCCCUUUGGACACGUUUAUUACAUUUACUGUCCUUUGUUCCCCCUGGAAUGCAAGCUGCACGAAGGCGGGGAUCUUCGUCUGUUUUGUUCACUGAUAUCCCCAGAGCCUAGUGCCCUGCUGAUAUAGUAGGCACUUGAUAUGUAUUUGUCGGAUGAACGGGUAAUAUAGUCACUCACAGGCAGCUUUCAGGAUGAGAAUGUUUGUCUGAUCCUCUCAUUUAUAAAAAUCCUCACAACAACUACUCUCCACCCUGUCCCCAGUGUUGAAAGAAUCUAUAGAGUAGAAAUAAUCAGCCCAUUGGCUAUUUCAAUAAUAUAUUUAGUUCUGAAAAGCUCUUAAUUGACUCUGACUCCUCUCUGAAUCCUUUCCUUAGACCUCCCUUAAAACUCUAGCCUGGUUUGUUCACUGUAGGACAAAGGAGUUUGUGAGACUCUGGCUCUGAAGGCUGCCUAGGAGCUUGGCAAAAGCGUCUGUCCGGAGUCCUGCAAUAACCACGCCCCUCACCCCUUUACGACCACACCCACUUAUUCCCGACCACGCCCACGCAUCCCUCCUUUAGUCCCAGCCCCUGUCCCCUUCAGGACCACGCCUACCCCCUCCCUGACCACUCCCAUCCCUAUAGGACUAGCCUCUCCUCCCCUCAGGACCACGCCCCACUCCCAUUCCAGGCCACGCCCACCCCAUUCAGGACCUCGCCCACCUCCUCCUCGGACCACGCCCAUUCUCCUCACGCCCACGCCCAGCUCAUCUUCCAUUCAGGUCUUCCACUCCGAGUGGACUUUUGGAAGCCUCUUUGAUGGUUGCAGCAUUAGUAGUAUUUCUCUGCACACAUUAUCCUGACGCCGAUUCAGACCACGUUCCCUUACCCCCUGACUUCGCUCAAAGACACAAAUCUCCAUACUUCUUCCUUCCAUUUGCUAUCUUAACUCCACCCACCAUCAUCACACGCAUAUUGUAGGAAAUUUAGAACAUAAAGGUGUAAAAAGCUGAAAAACUUCUAUCCAUUUAUUCUACUACUCUGAGGACUGGAGAUAAUCUUUUGGCCCGUUUCUAAUAGUCUAUUUCUUUUUCUUUAUGAGUUUAUUAGUAGGUUAUGCAGACAAUUUUGUGUUCUGUUUUUAUCAUUUAAAACGAUCUCCAUAUUACCCAUUUCUUUAAAAUAGUUUGUAAAUCUCUCUCUCUCUCUCUUUUUUUUCUUUUGAGACGGAGUUUUGCUCUCGUUGCCCAGGCUGGAGUGCAAUGGCGCGAUCUCGGCUCACCGCAACCUCCGCCUCACGGGUUCAAGCGAUUCUCCUGCCUCAGCCUACGGAGUAGCUGGAAUUACAGGGGCCCGCCACCACACCUGGCUAAUUUUUUGUACUUUUAGUAGAGACGGGGUUUCUCCGUGUUGAUCAGGCUUGUCUGGAACUCCCGACCUCAGGUGGAUCCACCCGCCUUGGCCUCUCAAAGUGCUGGGAUUACAGGCGAUAGCCUCCGUGUCCGGCCAAAUCUCAUUUUUAAAUGGCUGCUUAAUAAUUCAUGGUGUGAAUGAGGCAUCAUUUUUAAUUCCAGUUAACAAUUAGGUGACACAUGUAAUUGUGCACACUUCUUUGUCUGCAUUUUGACAUAUUUCCUAAGGAUUGAUUGCUCUAAGUAGCUUUACAAGGGGUCAGAGAGCACUGAUGUUUUUCUUUUUCUUUUUCUUUUUUUUUUCUAUUGUGGUAAAAUAUAUAUAACAUAAAAGUGACCUUUUAAUUGUUUUUAAAUGUAUUGUUCAGUGGCACUGAGUACAUUCAUAUUAUUAUACCACAAUCAACCCCAUCCCAAGUACAGUAUUUGUCUUUUUGUAACUGAUUAUUUCAUUUGGCAUAAUGUCCUCGAGCUCUACCCAUGUUGUGGCAUAUAUCAGUAUUCCCUUCCUUUUUGAGGCUGAAUAAUAUUCCAUUGCAUGUGUAUGUAUUACUUUUUUUUAAUAUGUAUUAUGUUUUAUUUAUCCAUUCAUCUGUCGUGGACAUUUGGGCUGUUCCCACCUUUUGGCUAUCGUGAAUAAUGCAGUUAUGAACAUGUGGGUGCACCAGCCUUUUAAAGAUUCUUAAUAAGCUUUAUCAUCUGGAAAAGUUGUACCAAUUUCCAUGUCCACUAGCAGUGGCUGCAUGACUGCCUAUUUUACUAUAUUCAGCACUUGACAGCAAUUUUCAAAAUGGAAGACCUGUGAAUAUUGAGGGGGACAUGCUGUAAUGAAAUUACAUGUAAUAAUAGGAAAAGGCUUAUUCUCUUUACCCACUCACCUACCCUUCUUCCUUCCAAACACCUACCCAUCCACCUAUCUGUCCACCUGCUCACUUACCCACCCUUUCUUCCACCCACCUAUCCAUCUACCUAUCCAUCACCCACCCACUUGCUCACCCAUCUACCCACCCACUCACCUGUACAGGUAUCCACCCACCUGUCUACUGGUCUUACAUAUUUAAUCCGCCUGCCCAUCCAUCAGUCCAUCCAUCCAUCCAUCCAUCCAUCAAUCCAUCAUCUAUCCACCCAUCCAUCCACCUAUCCAGCCAUCCAUCCACCCACCUAUCCAUCUACCCAUCCAUCCAUUCACCCAUCCGGUUAUCCACCCAUCAUCCAUCUAUCCACCUGUCCAUUCAUCCACCCAUCCACCCAUCUUUUCUGUCUUUUCCAGCUCCAUCUUCUUGAAGCUACUCUCUUAUUUGUUUACAACACAACAGAAUAAGAAGAUGAGAAUAUCUAAGAAUCGUUCUCUCUCUGUCCUUUAUUCCUGCAGGGGCAUCUGAAAGGUCACACUUUAUUACCUUUCUAAGUCAUUCCCCUGCUCCCUGCCUUGGGCCCCCAGUCUCUUUGAAAUUCCUCCAUUGAAUCUUUGAAUCUUUUAAAUAAAGAUCAAAUUUCUCUGCCUCCUCCCACCUCCUAGUUUGCACCAUGUUAUACUUUCAAUUGUUACUGUGGAGUUACAGUUUCACCAAGGAGCCUCCCCUGCUUUUGUUCUUUCCUAAGCAGGUGGGUUGGUGAGGUGGCUGCCUGUGAUUCUAGUGGCUUUUAUGGGGGGCCUUUGGCAGAGGAGGAGUUUCUGAGCUCUGAAAUAUCUCCUUUUGUAGAUAGCAUCUUGGGCCUGGAGCUAAGAGAAUUAAGAGGUAUUUACAAUGAUUUACAGCAAAUGUUAUACUAUGUUACAGUCUCACUUUGUCCUGAAAUUUGUAAGGCAAGAUCUGGUGUGCGUGUGUGUGUUUUAAUGUAAGCAUAAUGAUAGGCAUAUUAUAUGGGGGUAUUUCUAUAAAAAGUAGAAAACAACUAUAAUAUUUAUCUCUCUAUUAAUUCCCUGGAAGAUCAUCGGAGGGCUUGCUGUGUGCCAUGUGGCUGGGCACAGGGCAGUGGUGCCUGCCUCUUGCUGAAGGCAGCUGAAGGGGCCUGUGGCAGCAGCAUAUGGGGGGUCACCUGUAAAUAUCCGUCAGGUGCAGAGAGCAGGAAGCCAUCUGACAGCAGCACCCAUCACAGGAAUAUUUUUCUGGUUUUCUUCCCUCUCCUCCCUCUUUUUUUUUGAGAUGGAGUCUCACUCUGUUGCCCAGGCUGGAGUACAGUGGCUCAAUCUUGGCUCACUGCAACCUCUACCUCCUGAGUUCAAGUGAUUCUCCUGCCUCAGCCUCGUGAGUAGCUGGGAUUACAGGCACUCACCACCAUGCCCAGCUAAUUUUUGUAUUUUUAGUAGAGAUGAGAUUUCGCCAUGUUGGUCAGCCUGGUUUCGAACUCCUGACCGCAAGUGAUCUACCCGCCUUGGCCUCCCAAAGUGCUGAGAUUACAAGCGUGAACCACUGUGUCUGGCCCCUCUCCCUACUUUAACCCUGGUGGGGUCAGGAAGAACAGCCAGCACGGGAGAAAGGGAGAGGGCAAAGGAGGAUGGAUUCCUCUUCCUAUCUGGAGCCAGCCUGGGCUAGGGAGAAGAAAAUUCCAAGUUUAAAUUGAACUCUGAGUUUUGGUUAUUACCAAAUUGGGAUUGGCUAUUUCAUGCGGAAUUGAAACCAGGAUUAUGGCU